RNAcentral lists this long non-coding RNA (7533 nucleotides) under Lactuca sativa (garden lettuce). RNAcentral describes it as "long non-coding RNA (LSAT_LNC000345)". Lineage: Eukaryota; Viridiplantae; Streptophyta; Magnoliopsida; Asterales; Asteraceae. The record is from RNAcentral.
UAGAUUAGAAACUUUUAUGCAAAAGGAUGUUCAAAGGAAUGUACUUUGAGUGAGAGACAUCAUAUCUAAGGAAUUGUCUUGUAACAAUCUCCGAUAGAGGACUUUGUAAUUUCAUUGGCAAUAGUCUUUGUGACUUUGGUGCAGUGACAUUACGAAAGGAUCAUUGCAUAAAAUGUUAGAAUCUAACAUAUUCCAUAAGUGGCAGGAAUUCGAUAUUCUUUCACUUAUGAAAAAGGAUUAGGAGUUGUGAAAUGAGAAUGAUUGGAAAUGUGUUCAAUUUGAUCUAUUUCACAAAGUAAGAACCAUAUGUAAACAUUGUGUGCAUGCUAAGAGCAUGGGACAAGUGUGAUAAUUCAAGUAAGAAGUUGAUUAACCGAAACAACAAAUAAUGAGUAAUCGAUAUGGUGAUAAAUAAAAGGUGUUUUAUUUAUACUCAAACGUUUGAGGCCAUAUGGGAUUAGUAUUAUUCUUGUGUUUCACUUUGCAUGUUUUCACUUCCUGGAUAAUUUAAUUGGUUAAGAACAGUCAAAUUAUUCGAAUGGGCCACAGUCAUUCUUAUGUUGGAAGUAGGUAUGAAUGAAGAUUGUCGUGAAUUGGUGUGUGGAUUGUCUAAAGAGUAUUAGACAUAAGCAAAUGUUUGCUACAACGUUCAUGAGUGCUUAUGAAUAUGAUUUGAGCAUUUGAUUAACCCACGCUCACUUGGAUCACUCGAUGAAUUGUAUCACACGUGAUUGGUGAUGUCACACCCCGAAAACCAAAGGCGGAAACAUUUCCGGGGUUGACUCCACGUUGAGUAUCAAAUCCAAUGCACAUAGUAAAACAGUAAACACAAAACAUUACAUUACAUAAUUUUGUUUACAUCUGUUUGAAAGAAAAGUUAUACAAGUGUUAUACAUAUAUCAUAUGAACAAAAGUAAAGACGAGUCUUCGGAACGCUCCGUCUUCUCCAAAAGGUGGCGGUGUACCUGUCUAACGCUGACCUGAGAAUACAAGCGGUUUGAAAAUCAGCAUAAAGCUGGUGAGUUCAUAAGCGGUUUAGUUUUGAAAAGAACGAGUUUCCUUUGCUUUCCGAAAAAGUUGUUGUUCAAGAAAAUCCCAUAUUUUCUUAUGAAAACAGUUUAGUUAUCUUUUGUUACAAAUUCGAAAACGGUUUGUUAUGUCAUUCCAGGAAAAUCCCAUAUUUUCCUAAUAGUUUAGUUAUUCGUUUGUUACUUUAUUCGUUUCUAAUUUCGUUACUAGUUGUUAUGUUACUUCAGGAAAAUCCCAUAUUUUCCUAUGUGUUGAGGUUGGUUCUUAAGUUUAAUUUCGAAGUACUAAUGAUUACCAUACUCGUAGUAUUAGUUAAGUAUUCUAAACUCUUAGUUAUUCUACAUUUGAAUGUCUAUCAUCUACUAACUUAGUUGUAUUUUCGAAUAUUUGGAUUCACCAGAAACGUACAUUACAGUAUGUUCAAUUAUUCUGAUGAUUUCCAAAAGAGUACAUUAGUUGUAUUUUCAUAUCUCUGGCGACAUUCUAAGGCGGAUGUAUUCGAAACUCAGUAGAGGUCCAGAGGCCUACUUUCGUAUUAAAUUCGAAACUCUGGUGACAUUCAAGGCGUACACUAACUGUAUAUUCGAAGUCUUGGUGUCAUCCAAAGGCGUUAUUUCGCAUUCGUAGUCCUAUUUCUAUUCGUAUUCAUAUUCGUUCUAUCCUAUUAGACAUAUUCGUAUUCGCAUUCGUAUUCGUACUACCCUAAUAGUUAUAUUCGUAUUCGUAUUCGUACUAUGCUAUUGGUUACAUUCAUAUUCGUAUUCGUAUUCGUAUUCAUACUAUACUAUUGGUUACAUUCGUAUUCGUAUUCGUACUAUACUAUUAGUUACAUUCGUAUUCGUAUUCGUAUUCUAGUUCGUAUUCGUAUUCACAUUCGUUCUAUUAAUCUUAGUUAUGAUUAGUAUGAUUUCUUCUACAAAAAGUAAUAUAGAUCAAAACACUUUUUAAAGAAAUCUGGCUUUAGUCUAACUAUUUAACCUGCAAUUCGAACCAUUAGUUAUCACAAUUUUCAUUAUUAGAAUCAUACAUGAAAUAAAACAUUUGAACUGAAAAUACGUUUAAGUACAAGAUUCCUUGUACUUUAGCUUGUAUUCCCCCCCUAAAAACGUUGAAAACCAUUUGAAAAACACAAGAAAAAGGGUAGGGGUAUGAACUCACCAGUUGAGAAACGCGUUAGAUUGGAUCCUAAACGUCAGUUCUGGGUUCGCGAACACACAAGUUUCCUAUGGAUUAUGAAAUGAUACAUAUUUGUAUUUAAUUAGGACUUGAUUAAUUUAUUUGCCAACGACAUACACUUCUAGUUGCGGAAACACCCCAUUUUGAGUGUUUGGAAGGACCCAGGUGGCGUUUAAGGACUAGUAUGACUAGGGAAUGGAGUUUACUCUUAAAGAGUAAACUCCUAAAGGAGUUUAAUGCCCUAAACACCCCAUCCGCAUGAGUUCACGGCCGUGAACUCAUGGAGGGUGAUUUUGGGUGCAAAAUGGCUUCAUAACAAUCGGGAAUAAUUGCUAGACUUGGAUUUUUGGCUUUGGAAUGGAUUAAAACUCACAAAGGGACCAUUUAUUGGAGUUUACGGCUGUAAACAUGGAGUUUACGGCCGUAAACUCCCCCCUCACACAAGAUCCUUGAUGUUUUGGUCCUAAAUCAAUCACAUGUGAUUCUAAUGAUUUUUCCUAAGCCUUAUAUGGAUUUUUGAGGGACUUUUGGCAUGUUUUUACGAGUUUACGGCCCAUGAACACCCUCAUGGCCGUGAACUCUUAUGAAAGGGUGAUUUUAUAUGUUUUAAGGUCUAAUACUUGUUUGUAAACACUUCUAGAAUUUAUCCCAAGGCUUUAGGUGUGUUAAUGUGGCAUUUUAACACAUUUAGAGGAGUUUACUCUCCAUUUUAAUGAGUUUACGGCCCAAGCUUGUUCUUGGGCAGUAAAAUCAAGUUUACUCCUCUAAAUUGAUGUUCAAUGUGUUCCAAGGCCAAUUCCAUAAUUCUAUAAGUCGUAUCUAAGCCUUAUUGGUGUUUUGGAAGGGUUUAAGGGCUUAAAAACCCAUUUAAUAUGUGUUUACUCUCCAUGAUAUGGAGUUUAUGGCUCAAGCAUGAUCUUGGGAAGUAAACUCAUGUUUACUCUCCAAAAAUUAAGUUCAAGGUGUUCUAAGUCCAGUCCAUUAAGCCAUUAAGCCAUAUCUAAGCUCCAAAGGUCGAUUGGAAGGGUUUUGGGGCUCCAAAACCCAUUUUAUGUGAGUUCACGGCCUAGGACUGUUCUAGGGCUGUAAACUCAUGAAUGUGGUCCUAUUCCAUGAUUUGAACUCGAAUUUGAAGGCUAGAGGGGUUGCAUAACAAGUUAGGGAAGGUACCUUGGUGAUUAGAAGCCUUAAAUUUGAGAUUUGGACCCUUAAACUUGGAAUUAGGAUAGAGGUUAGAGAGAGAGUAGAGAGAGGAAGAAAAAGCUUCAAAUGAAUGUUUAAACAUGUUUAAAUAGGUCCAAAAACUUGGACACGAUGAAAUUCUACCCGAUACCGGCAUUAAAUGGGGUUUUUGGUCGCACCCGAUUAAGUUGCCGUUACCCGAUGGGAUAGAAUUUAGAAAUUUCAAGUGAAUGAUUUUGGGCCAUUUUUAUGAGUUUUAAAUGGAUUUGAACACUUACGAGAUUAAAAUAAACUUAUAGUUUAUAUAUCUUAGCCCAAAAACGAAAACGGAACGAAUCGAUAAAGGCGGAUUUUUACGCGCGGAACGGAUUUCGGCGAUGGACAACUUCGGGUUGUUACAUUAUCCCCCCGUUAGAGGGAAUUUCGUCCCGAAAUUCAAAGGUUACGAUACAGCUCAUGAAAUGAAAAGAGAUGCGGGUGGAUCAGCUGCUCCGGGUUUUCAUGCUCCCAAGUGGCAUCGAGUCUCCGCUUGACGUUCCAGUGAACCGUCACUAUCGGGACGCGUUUUGGAUUCAUUGGGUAGAUACUUCUUAAAGACCGAGACAUGAAGUACCAUUUGGAUGUUACUAAGUUCCGAGGGUAGCCGAAGUUUGAAGGUUACGGAAUCGUUCCUACGAGGAUCGCGAAGGGUCUAAUGUUACUAAAUUACAGGUUUCUAUAGGUAUCUCUGGUGCCGACUAGUUCCCUAUCGUCUUAGCUUUUGGAAGGUUCAUGGGUAUGACUGCUUUGCUUAUCUACAUAACCAGGGAAAAUGGUUUGACCGAAAGGUACCAGUACGAACUCGUGGUGAUCAUAUCAGAUCCUGAUUGCAGUAUUGGAUAUAUCAUCUUCCCAGAGGUUCGGCUACGAGAUAGUUCCAAGAAUUAGGUUAAUACGAGGCUUGACAAGACGUUCUGAAGGAANGAUCCUGAUCGCAGUAUUGGAUAUAUCAUCUUCCCAGAGGUUCGGCUACGAGAUAGUUCCAAGAAUUAGGUUAAUACGAGGCUUGACUAGACGUUCGGAAGGAAUUCUCGAGGAUUCUUGGGAAAGGCAUCGGGGAAAGAGUUGCAGACUUCCUGUUUCCCGAAUAUCACACGAACGGGGAAUGUAUGGGAAACUUUCUAAGCUUUGAUGCACGAAGAUGCGAAGGCUGGAUUUAGGUUUGAUGUCGAAGAUCAUGAGAGUCAGGUCAGAGAAAAGAUUCGGAUGGACGAACCUUUCGAGAACAAGAAUAACAGCAUGAAUGAGACUCAGUCAUUCCAAUCCUAGAUUGCAUCAAAGCUUUGCAUUAAAAGUUUAUCAUUAGAUCGAGUGGAAAGGAAUAAUUAUCCGAAUUGAGGAUACGAUCUAUAGGUAUGACGUUAACAUUCUCUUUCUCACUGGUUGGUCAUCUCGACGGUACAUGUUUCAAUUACUAACGAAGGAUUUAGUUUAGAAAGAUAUUUGAAUGAAUGGUUAGCAAAUUCUUACAGCAUUAGAAUCGAAAAGGGUUAUGGGCACAAGAUUCAUCGAGGAGGAGUAUACCUGUGGCAACGGUGGGGUCAGCGGCUGUCCUUUCUUGUCCCAUAGUUAGGACUCUCCCAGUGUUUCCAGAUGUUACUGUCUUAGGACAAUUUUGUUUAUAAUGCCCGACCUCUCCACAAUUGUAGCAGGUUUGACCGAUACCAGCUCUGGAAGCUUGACUAGUUGAUGGGAUUGGGGUUUUGCAGCUUCGCACAAGGUGACCUUCCUGGCCACAACUUUUACAAAACUUUGCACGAAAAGGGCCAGAGAUGUGAUGGUGCUAACUACACCGAUCACACCACGGGAGGUUACCGGCAUAUCCGGUGACAGGUGCAUGGGAUGAGGAACCUACAAUAGAUACAACAACAGGGGUAGUGGCAGCGUGGACUACCACUAUUUGUUGUUUCUUCGAGGGUUCUGGGGAAGACUGCCUCUUCUUCUUCUUUUUCCAAAACUUUCUUUUCUCGCCACUCUUUUCUGUUGGCUCGGAAGUGGUGUCUGCUUCCUCUUGGUCAUCAUUGUGAUCGAUUAGGGUUUCCGCUAGACAUUUGGCGCUGUCAUAGGAAUCCGGCUUCACUGCUAUAACGUUCCCUUUUGUUGGCUGGGUUAAUCCCCAGAUGAACCUCUCUACCUUUUUGCUCUCCGGGGUAACCAUUCCCAGAAAAAGCAGUGCUAAGUCAUCAAAUCUGGAUGUGUAGGCGGCGAUAUCGGAACCUUUCAUUUUCAGGUUCUAAAGUUCAUGCUCCAGCUUCAGGAUUUCACCCCGACGGAAAUACUCCGCGCGCAGUAGUUCCUUCAUAACUUCCCAUCCCAUAGCAUUGGCUACAGGUAGAGUCAAGGAUUUGACUCGGCCGUUCCACCAAGUCAAAGCUUUAUUGAUGAGCGUACAAGCGGCAAAUUUUACCUUGUCGGAUUCCAAACAGGCACAAAUCUCGAAGAUAGAUUCGAUUUUCUCUAACCAUCGAGUUAGAGCAAUGAAACCCCCUGUGCCAUCGAAGAAUGUGGGUUUUGCGUUCAUAAAGUCUUUGUAGGAACACUCCUUCCGGUGUCCUUGAUUACCUUCCGGGUUUUGGGUUUGAGUACCACCCCCUGAACCACUAGGGUUUAGCUGAGAUAGGGUGGCUGAUAUUGUGGCAGAAAUGGUUGCCCGAAGUGUUUCCAGAUCAAUUUGAAUAGGAGGUGGUGGCGGCAGAGGGUUGUUGGUGUUCUUCGAGCUAGGUCUUUUCCUCGGAGGCAUCUUGAUCUAAAAAGAUCAGGAAAGGGAGGAUCAUAAGUCCUCUGAAUUGAAUCAUGAGAUAUGGAUCAGGGGAUAUCUCAUCAAGACAGAUAUAACAUUAUAUUAAGCGAUAAGGCAGGAAAGAGUUAUCAAGGCAGAUAAUUUUAUCGCUAGAGGAAUGAUCAAGGAACAAAGUGUAUACGAGGAUUUCUACAAAGGAUCGACUCGAGAAAUACUCCCAUAGUAUUUCAUGGUUCGCUGCAACGACGGCUCGUUGUUUGGGGUAUUGGGUAAGUUUUAGGUAUGCUGCGUACCACAGUCACUCCCAAGCACAUGUUGGCCGUGUCUCAAAUGAAUAUAGUUGGCCAGGCUAUAUUGAUCCUAGACACGACUACAUAACUGCCCAGGUUUAACCGCAGCGUACAACACCCAUUUACUUAUAUUUUGUUCUACUUGUAGUUACGGAUUUCGACAGUUCGGGUAUACUUGUAUACUUUAGAAAAUACUUAUAUUUGUAGAGUAUACUUUUAGUUCAGAGCACUUAGGCCCCUUAAUGUUUAUAGUCUUAUACCAUGUAAGAUUUGGUAUACUAGUUCACUAUAAACAAGGGCUCUGAUACCAAUCUGUCACACCCCGAAAACCAAAGGCGGAAACAUUUAUGUGGUUGACUCCGCGUUGAGUAUCGAAUCCAAUGCACAUAGUAAAAAAGUAAACACAAAACAUUACAUUACAUAAUAUUGUUUACAUCUGUUUGAAAGAAAAGUUAUACAAGUGUUAUACAUAUAUCAUAUGAACAAAAGUAAAGAUGAGUCUUCGGAACGCUCCGUCUUCUCCAAAAGGUGGCAGUGUACCUGUCUAAUGCUGACCUGAGAAUACAAGCUGUUUGAAAAUUAGCAUAAAGCUGGUGAGUUCAUAAGUGGUUUAGUUUUGAAAAGAAAGAGUUUCCUUUGCUUUCCGAAAAAGUUGUUGUUCAAGAAAAUCCCAUAUUUUCUUAUGAAAACAGUUUAGUUAUCUUUUGUUACAAAUUCGAAAACGGUUUGUUAUGUCAUUCCAGGAAAAUCCCAUAUUUUCCUAAUAUUUUAGUUAUUCGUUUGUUACUUUAUUCGUUUCUAGUUUCGUUACUAGUUGUUAUGUUACUUCAGGAAAAUCCCAUAUUUUCCUAUGUGUUGAGGUUGGUUCUUAAGUUUAAUUUCGAAGUACUAAUGAUUACCAUACUCGUAGUAUUAGUUAAGUAUUCUAAACUCUUAGUUAUUCUACAUUCGAAUGUCUAUCAUCUACUAACUUAGUUUUAUUUUCGAAUAUUUGGAUUCACCAGAAACGUACAUUACAUUAUUUUCGAUUAUUCUGAUGAUUUCCAAAAGAGUACAUUAGUUGUAUUUUCGUAUCUC